Molecule: ribosomal RNA, 253 nt
Filed under: uncultured bacterium
Lineage: Bacteria
Description: partial 16S ribosomal RNA
Rfam family: Bacterial small subunit ribosomal RNA
Source: RNAcentral
CACGUAGGGGGCAAGCGUUGUCCGGAUUCAUUGGGCGUAAAGAGCGUGUAGGCGGCCAGACAGGUCCGUUGUGAAAACUCGAGGCUCAACCUCGAGACGCCGAUGGAAACCGUCUGGCUAGAGUCCGGAAGAGGAGAGUGGAAUUCCUGGUGUAGCGGUGAAAUGCGCAGAUAUCAGGAAGAACACCCGUGGCUAAGGCGGCUCUCUAGUACGGUACUGACGCUGAGACGCGAAAGCGUGGGGAGCGAACAGG